This is a non-coding RNA of Ictidomys tridecemlineatus (thirteen-lined ground squirrel), 1140 nucleotides long. Lineage: Eukaryota; Metazoa; Chordata; Mammalia; Rodentia; Sciuridae. The record is from RefSeq and is a predicted model, not a curated record.
CCAGGGAGUGAAGGGAGCCCAGGGGUCUGGGGGCAGGAAGGACAGCAGAAUGAAUAGGACUUUAUUACCCUUAUAGGACUACACGACCUGGUGAUUCUAUAUCACGUACAACAGGAAGAGUGAGAAGUUACGUUCCAUUUAGUAUGAUGUGCGAAGUGCACUCUACUGUCACCUGUACCUAAGUAGAACAACAAACAAACAAAAUCCACCUGGGAAGCGAGACUACUGUAUCUAGAAUCCCUGCUCUACCUGGGCCGCAGUGGCAUGGACAAGGGAAGGCUCGGGAAGUGUGAAGAUGUCCCAUCUGCCAUCUCGGCCUGAGAUAAGAACAUAAUGAAGUUGAAAGAGAAAGAUGGGGAAAAUGAGGAAGCUUAUUCGUGACAGAAAAGAUGUUCACAAUACACAGUCAACAAAAACCUGUAUGCACGAGCCAACUUUAUAAGAAAAAAAAACAACACGUCUCUGUUUAGGAAGUGCCCUGAAUGACGUGUCCUCGCCAUUGGAUUGGCAUCAGGGUCAAGGACCGAGCUGUCAGCAACAUUUCCUCUGGGGAGCAAGCCUGACUGGAGCUGCUGCUGAUGUGACUGUGGAGAGACAAGCAAUCCUUCAGCCAUCUGAGAAGACGGCGGGAGUCAGAGGAAGCCCUAACGCAGCGAGACCCGGAACCAACAUAAAAAAUAAUGAUAAUAAAAAACUGGGCAAACUCUCUACGGUCCCUUCUCCCAGUCACCUGUAAAAGUUCACUCCUUUUAGUCCUCUAGAAAUGGGGGCCAAAUUGGUGUUUCAGUGAUCCCGUGAAACUUUCAUCAGACCAUUCGGUCUUGGUAACUUCUUAGGUUUUCCUGUGAUUUGAGGGAUUGAGAUGGAAAAAAGUCUCUGCACAUUUUGAAGCUAAAGGAAACUUCUUCAGCCUGAAAGAAGAUCCAGGGAGACUGGGGAAAGGCAAGAAGGUGCCCAGGAAGAAUGUGCAAUGGUUCCACCACAGAGCAAAGUCAUGGCGACUUUAGUUAACCUUUGUGGUCCUCAGUUUCAAAUCAAAUUAGAGAAAAUGCGGUGUGGAUGGAGAAAGGAUGAAUGAGACACUUUCUGCAAAGUUCAUACCUCAGCAGGCUGAAUAAAAGGGCUGCUUUUUGAGGUGCA